Molecule: transfer RNA, 74 nt
Filed under: Mycolicibacterium mageritense
Lineage: Bacteria; Bacillati; Actinomycetota; Actinomycetes; Mycobacteriales; Mycobacteriaceae
Description: tRNA-Thr
Rfam family: tRNA
About the family: Transfer RNA (tRNA) molecules are approximately 80 nucleotides in length. Their secondary structure includes four short double-helical elements and three loops (D, anti-codon, and T loops). Further hydrogen bonds mediate the characteristic L-shaped molecular structure. tRNAs have two regions of fundamental functional importance: the anti-codon, which is responsible for specific mRNA codon recognition, and the 3' end, to which the tRNAs corresponding amino acid is attached (by aminoacyl-tRNA synthetases). tRNAs cope with the degeneracy of the genetic code in two manners: having more than one tRNA (with a specific anti-codon) for a particular amino acid; and 'wobble' base-pairing, i.e. permitting non-standard base-pairing at the 3rd anti-codon position.
Source: RNAcentral
GCCGCCCUAGCUCAGUCGGCAGAGCGAUUCACUCGUAAUGAAUAGGUCAGGGGUUCGAUUCCCCUGGGCGGCUC